GAUGAACGCUGGCGGCGUGCCUAAUACAUGCAAGUCGAGCGAACAGACGAGGAGCUUGCUCCUCUGACGUUAGCGGCGGACGGGUGAGUAACACGCGGAUAACCUACCUAUAAGACUGGGAUAACUUCGGGAAACCGGAGCUAAUACCGGAUAAUAUAUUGAACCGCAUGGUUCAAUAGUGAAAGACGGUUUUGCUGUCACUUAUAGAUGGAUCCGCGCCGCAUUAGCUAGUUGGUAAGGUAACGGCUUACCAAGGCAACGAUGCGUAGCCGACCUGAGAGGGUGAUCGGCCACACUGGAACUGAGACACGGUCCAGACUCCUACGGGAGGCAGCAGUAGGGAAUCUUCCGCAAUGGGCGAAAGCCUGACGGAGCAACGCCGCGUGAGUGAUGAAGGUCUUCGGAUCGUAAACUCUGUUAUUAGGGAAGAACAAAUGUGUAAGUAACUAUGCACGUCUUGACGGUACCUAAUCAGAAAGCCACGGCUAACUACGUG
Molecule: ribosomal RNA, 496 nt
Filed under: uncultured bacterium
Lineage: Bacteria
Description: partial 16S ribosomal RNA
Rfam family: Bacterial small subunit ribosomal RNA
Source: RNAcentral